UACGAAGGGGGCUAGCGUUGCUCGGAAUCACUGGGCGUAAAGCGCACGUAGGCGGCUUUCUAAGUCAGGGGUGAAAUCCCGGAGCUCAACUCCAGAACUGCCUUUGAUACUGGGAAGCUUGAGUCCGGAAGAGGUGAGUGGAACUGCGAGUGUAGAGGUGAAAUUCGUAGAUAUUCGGAAGAACACCAGUGGCGAAGGCGGCUCACUGGUCCGGUACUGACGCUGAGGUGCGAAAGCGUGGGGAGCAAACAGG
Molecule: ribosomal RNA, 253 nt
Filed under: uncultured bacterium
Lineage: Bacteria
Description: partial 16S ribosomal RNA
Rfam family: Bacterial small subunit ribosomal RNA
Source: RNAcentral